This 1030-nucleotide ribosomal RNA is filed under the name Oceanitis scuticella. RNAcentral describes it as "SSU rRNA". It matches the Rfam family "Eukaryotic small subunit ribosomal RNA", at positions 73 to 1114 of the family's 1831-position model. Lineage: Eukaryota; Fungi; Ascomycota; Sordariomycetes; Microascales; Halosphaeriaceae. The record is from RNAcentral.
AUUAUACCGCGAAACUGCGAAUGGCUCAUUAUAUAAGUUAUCGUUUAUUUGAUAGCACCAUACUACUUGGAUAACCGUGGUAAUUCUAGAGCUAAUACAUGCUAAAAAUCCCGACUUCGGAAGGGAUGUAUUUAUUAGAUUAAAAACCAAUGCCCUCGUGGCUAACUGGUGAUUCAUAAUAACUUCUCGAAUCGCAUGGCCUUGCGCCGGCGAUGGUUCAUUCAAAUUUCUUCCCUAUCAACUUUCGAUGCGAGGGUAUUGUCCUCGCAUGGUUACAACGGGUAACGGAGGGUUAGGGCUCGACCCCGGAGAAGGAGCCUGAGAAACGGCUACUACAUCCAAGGAAGGCAGCAGGCGCGCAAAUUACCCAAUCCCGACACGGGGAGGUAGUAACGAUAAAUAUUAAUACAGGGCUCUUUCGGGUCUUGUAAUUGGAAUGAGUACAAUUUAAAUCCCUUAACGAGGAACAAUUGGAGGGCAAGUCUGGUGCCAGCAGCCGCGGUAAUUCCAGCUCCAAUAGCGUAUAUUAAAGUUGUUGUGGUUAAAAAGCUCGUAGUUGAACCUUGGGCCUGGCUGGCCGGUCCCCCUCACCGGGUGCACUGAUCCAGCCGGGCCUUUCCCUCUAUGGAACCCCAUGGCCUUCACUGGUCGUGGCGGGGAAAUAGGACUUUUACUUUGAAAAAAUUAGAGUGCUCCAGGCAGGCCAAUGCUCGAAUAGUUCAGCAUGGAAUAAUAAAAUAGGACGCGUGGUUCUAUUUUGUUGGUUUCUAGGACCGCCGUAAUGAUUAAUAGGGACAGUCGGGGGCAUCAGUAUUCAAUUGUCAGAGGUGAAAUUCUUGGAUCUAUUGAAGACUAACUACUGCGAAAGCAUUUGCCAAGGAUGUUUUCAUUGAUAAGGAACGAAAGUUAGGGGAUCGAAGACGAUCAGAUACCGUCGUAGUCUUAACUAUAAACUAUGCCGACUAGGGAUCGGACGAUGUUAUUACUUGACUCGUUCGGCACCUUUCGAGAAAUCAAAGUGCUUGGGCUC